ACAAUUAUAGAUAAGAUGGCUGCAACGACCAAGAUGGCUACCGCUUCUGAAGGCAGUCGGGUUGCUAGCCAAGAGAUGCAGGGCUGAUAUCCCAUUCUCGUUUACGUAGUUGACAAGAUCUUCAUAAAGGUAAAUGAUUUGAAAUGCCAAAUCUGUGAAUCACAAUAUAGUUAAUACAAUGUAGUUUAUGCUAAUAUGUUUGAGAAAAGAGUUAGGGAAAUUCUUACCAAAAUAGUCUCCAGAUAUGGCACAGUGGAGAACAUUUUCACCAUCCUUUCUUCUACAAUAAGAAUAGCCUUCUUCUUGGCUUUGACAGUAAGAGUUAAGACAAAGGAAAGCCUCUUUCUUGCCAUAAAGAGCUGCCAUGAAUAGCGGGGUUUCUCCGACGUUGUUUCGGAUUUCAAGCAACGACGAGUCCACUCGCACGAUGCAUUGGCACAUCCUUACAUUCCCUAGUGAAGCC
Molecule: long non-coding RNA, 463 nt
Filed under: Gossypium barbadense (sea-island cotton)
Lineage: Eukaryota; Viridiplantae; Streptophyta; Magnoliopsida; Malvales; Malvaceae
Description: long non-coding RNA (GBAR_LNC018351)
Source: RNAcentral